CGGGGGGCUGCGGGGCGCGGGGCCGUCGGGGCCGUACGGGGGGUCGGCGACGCGAGUCCGGGCACAGCCGUCGUGGCGCACGGAGAGCAGCGGGGCGGAGCUCCUCCCGUCCGCCGCCGCCGUUCCGACGUUGACCCUCCGGAGGGACGAACUCCGUUUGAGGGCCGAAGCCCCGACGUUCGCCGGGUGCCCCCCGUCCCGCAGCGCCAAACGGCUCAGCGCCGCCGCCGCGUCUUCGCCGCUCACGUCCCCGAUGCUGACGGAUUUGGAGCGGCUCAAAUUGCUCCUCCUCCUUUCGGUUCCGACGGGGAAAGGGAACGACGCGACGCCCGGCGCCGCGCCCGCCUGCGGGGAACCGGGAACCCGCACCCCGUGGUCCGCUUUCAGGGGUCCCCGUCGGCACGCGGAGCCCCUUUUGGCCGCCCGGCCGCGCUCCGGGUCCGACUUCUUGGGCCGCUCUUCCAACGUUGCGGGUCUGGGGGGGAGGAGGCGAAGUUUCGGGGCCGGGGAGAGCCCUCCGGGGGCGGCGCUGAAGGGGUGGCGCUCCUGGCUCACGGCCCGGCCCGGCAGCUUGGAGGCGGCUUUGGGUUGAGCGGCGACGACGGUCGGGUCCCGGGCGCGGCCCAAACGGUGCUCCGACGUCUGAGGCAUCGCCGGGAGGAGCCUCCCGCGGGCCGCCAUGGCAACAACUCCCGCAGCGCCCGCCGCCAU
This 711-nucleotide long non-coding RNA is filed under the name Gallus gallus (chicken). Lineage: Eukaryota; Metazoa; Chordata; Aves; Galliformes; Phasianidae. The record is from RNAcentral.